RNAcentral lists this ribosomal RNA (376 nucleotides) under uncultured bacterium. RNAcentral's name for it is "bacterial SSU rRNA". It matches the Rfam family "Bacterial small subunit ribosomal RNA", at positions 362 to 757 of the family's 1533-position model. The record is from RNAcentral.
UAUUGGACAAUGGGCGAAAGCCUGAUCCAGCAAUGCCGCGUGAGUGAUGAAGGCCCUAGGGUUGUAAAGCUCUUUUACCCGGGAAGAUAAUGACUGUACCGGGAGAAUAAGCCCCGGCUAACUCCGUGCCAGCAGCCGCGGUAAUACGGAGGGGGCUAGCGUUGUUCGGAAUUACUGGGCGUAAAGCGCACGUAGGCGGCUUUGUAAGUCAGAGGUGAAAGCCUGGAGCUCAACUCCAGAACUGCCUUUGAGACUGCAUCGCUUGAAUCCAGGAGAGGUCAGUGGAAUUCCGAGUGUAGAGGUGAAAUUCGUAGAUAUUCGGAAGAACACCAGUGGCGAAGGCGGCUGACUGGACUGGUAUGACGCUGAGUGCGAA